Molecule: ribosomal RNA, 253 nt
Filed under: uncultured bacterium
Lineage: Bacteria
Description: partial 16S ribosomal RNA
Rfam family: Bacterial small subunit ribosomal RNA
Source: RNAcentral
UACGUAGGGCGCAAGCGUUGUCCGGAAUUACUGGGCGUAAAGCGCGCGUAGGCGGAUUUGCCAGUCAGGGGUGAAAUGCCAGGGCUUAACCUUGGAACUGCCUUUGAUACUGCAAGUCUGGAGUACGGGAGAGGUGAGUGGAAUUCCGAGUGUAGAGGUGAAAUUCGUAGAUAUUCGGAGGAACACCAGAAGCGAAGGCGGCUCACUGGCCCGAUACUGACGCUGAGGCGCGAAAGCGUGGGGAGCAAACAGG